RNAcentral lists this ribosomal RNA (678 nucleotides) under uncultured archaeon. RNAcentral's name for it is "bacterial SSU rRNA". It matches the Rfam family "Archaeal small subunit ribosomal RNA", at positions 192 to 872 of the family's 1478-position model. The record is from RNAcentral.
AACUCCGGUGUCCCAGGAUGGGUCUGCGGCCUAUCAGGUUGUAGUGGGUGUAAAGGACCCACUAGCCGACGACGGGUACGGGCCAUGGGAGUGGUAGCCCGGAGAUGGAUUCUGAGACACGAAUCCAGGCCCUACGGGGCGCAGCAGGCGCGAAAACUUCGCAAUGCGCGAAAGCGCGACGAGGGGAUUCCAAGUGCAUGCACUCAGUGCAUGCUGUUUUCCAGUGUAAACAGCUUGUAGAGUAAGGGCUGGGUAAGACUGGUGCCAGCCGCCGCGGUAAUACCAGCGGCCCUAGUGGUGAUCGUUAUUAUUGGGCCUAAAGCGUCCGUAGCCGGUUCGGUAAAUCUCUGGGUAAAUCGAUGGGCUUAACCCAUCGAAUUCUGGGGAGACUGCUGGACUUGGGACCGGGAGAGGUCGGAGGUACUCCAGGGGUAGGGGUGAAAUCCUGUAAUCCUUGGGGGACCACCGGUGGCGAAGGCGUCCGACCAGAACGGGUCCGACGGUAAGGGACGAAGCCCUGGGGCGCAAACCGGAUUAGAUACCCGGGUAGUCCAGGGUGUAAACGCUGCGCGCUUGGUGUUGGGGGUCUCAUGUGGGCACCCAGUGCCGGAGAGAAGUUGUUAAGCGCGCCGCCUGGGGAGUACGGUCGCAAGACUGAAACUUAAAGGAAUUGGCGGG